Spinacia oleracea (spinach) is the source of this 2357-nucleotide long non-coding RNA. RefSeq lists it as uncharacterized. The record is from RefSeq and is a predicted model, not a curated record. The transcript has 2 exons. Lineage: Eukaryota; Viridiplantae; Streptophyta; Magnoliopsida; Caryophyllales; Amaranthaceae.
UUUCCAAAGCAAACCCUAAAUCAUUAACGCGCCUCUCAAACUCAAACUACUCUCAACUUUCUCUCUCCUCCUAUUUUCAUAUCACUCAACUUCUCAAGCGGCGCCCGACGGAUCUCAAAACUCCUCCACCCUUCUUCUCUUCUUGCAUGUGUUUUGUCUCCACUUUCAGCUUGCAAUCUGGAAGAUGGUUGUUGUCUUGCUGAGUUGCUGACCUGCUGCGGUGUUGUGUGCUCCUUACCUACUAUUGCUUGUCUUGCUUGUUGCUGUCUUGCUGCUGCCUUUUGUUGAGUCGCAGUUGAUGAGUGACAUUUAUGUCGCUCAUAGGGUAGUGAUUAGGCAAUUAUUCGAGUCGUUUUAUUGUAUUUUUAGCAUUUGUAAUCUUUAUUUUCCUUAAUUUAUCAUUUUAAUUACUUAUAACUUAGUUUAGUAUUUUUAGCUAUUUUUGUUAGUUUUUAGAUCUUGAUUUCGUAAUUUUUUUAUCAUGUUUGUUUUAUAAUUUUAUAGUUUAGUUAUUUAUUUAUUAAUUUUCUAUUUCUAUUUUUAUUCAUUUAUUAUUAUUAUUAUUAUUAUUAUUAUUAUUAUUAUUAUUAUUAUUAUUAUAUAAAUCAAAUGCGAACCAAGUCAAAUAUUUUACAAAUAGUUAGUGGGCAGCCGAGAAACAAUCUGGACCCCCACUCCCCUGGCUAUAGCAAAGCCUAUCCUAGUGAAAAUAUGAGCAGCAGCACGAGCCCCAAUGUCCUGUGUCCUAAAAAACUUCUGAAUCCGCUUCAGCAACGCAACAACAUCCUUAUCCAGCUCCCCCAAUUAAGAGAAAGAGAGCGGAAGAAGGUCAUAACCAAUGGCCCUGCAAUGUGCUUGUACUUCACUCGUUUCCGAAUAGCCGCAUCAGUCACAACCCGGCCCAGAGCAAAGCCAGACAACCCAGACUGUGUCAAAGGAGAUGAUCCCGUCAAGUCGCUCCAUCGUUCCCUCCAGAUAGACCAAUAUCAACCUCUUUUCGCGCCGAAAUCCCAGAGCGAUAACAAACAUCAACAAGAGUAUCCCGAACCACAUUAUCAACAAGAGAAAUAUUAUUAUUAUUAUUAAUUAUUAAUUAUUAUUUGUCAUUUACUUUUUUUUGUUUAAAUUCUAUUUUUCGGUUCUCCCUCAUCUUUGUUUUUAUGUGUGUAGGUGAUCGUGUGUUUUAAGAUUGGGCAGGAGUUUGACAAUCGAGUCCAUUGUUUUGACUUGUCAGGGAAUGAAAUGAAUGGGACUUGGGCCUUUGUCUUAGUGGGCCUCAAAGUCUCAAGCAUGCUGUCAGCUACUCUCCUCUCCACCUUAGCCUACACUCCAAACUCCAGCCUAUCCUUCACCACAUCAAGAAGCACCAACCUCCCUCUCCUUCACCGCCACAUCACCGACAACAUCCCUGCACCCUCUUCUCUGCCUCGCAACUCCAACAACCACCGUGCAAUACUGAAAACAAAGAAAAACUCCAAGCAAGCUGCACCUGCAUCUCCACCUCACCACCAACAUUCAAUCUUCACCAUCAUUGCACCAACACCAAACGCAACAAAAAUCAGCCUAAAAUCGCAAGCACGAAGCAGAGCAAAAAGCAGAGUAUUUAUGUUUGGGCGAACCUAAAUUGAGUUCGACCGAACCCAAAAUUUAGAAAAGUUCUUGACAAGGUCGGGUCCGGUCGAACCUUAAUGGAGUUCUCUCAAACCACUAUUAAGUUCGCUCAGACCUCCUUUGAGUUCGCCCGAACAUUUGAGCGCUCAAUUAUUAUACGGAAUUAAUGAAAUCGGGCGGCCGUGAUACGAUGAUCAAAAUCAAAUGGCCACGAUUGAUUGCAUUUUGACGAUGAUGAUGAUUAGAGAUGAGGGCCAUUGAUGACGGCUGAUGAAGGGUGACGAUCGAUGGUGAUGGAUUGGUGAGGAUGGACGACAAGAUGAUGAUAAUCGUCAAUGAUAGAUGAUGAAAAGUGAACGGUGAUGAUUGAUGAUAUUUGAUGAUCAACGGUGGGAGCUGCGAUGAAGAGCAGCGAAAUAGAGGAGCGUAGAAAAUGGGCGAAGGAAAGGAAGAACGAAUUAGAGGAGAAGACAAAAUAUGGUUCUGAAUUUGUGGGCUUUGUUAUUUUGUCCUCUUAUUUUUUCUUCUCUUUAUUUUUAUUUCCCUUUUAUUUUCUUUCUAUUUUUCUUUUUUCUUUUUCUCCUCUUUUAUUCUUUUCUUUUAACAUGUAGUAUAAAUAUCCAAAUAUUUGGAGGUCAUGGGGGAAUGUACAUAAAUUAGGCUUUUCUCUUAUUUUUAGGGUUUUUCUUAGUUAUUGAAGAGAGAAAAAGUGAGAAAAAUUAAUGGAAAGCUUGAUUUUUGGAUGA